This 294-nucleotide long non-coding RNA is filed under the name Capsella rubella. RNAcentral's name for it is "long non-coding RNA (CRUB_LNC000093)". The record is from RNAcentral. Lineage: Eukaryota; Viridiplantae; Streptophyta; Magnoliopsida; Brassicales; Brassicaceae.
UUGUGGAGACGCCUAAUGGAAAGGCAAGCUGCUGGAAAGUGAUGAAUCAACUCAAGACAUGUGUGUUAGCGUCAAGUUGUUGGAGUUCAAGAUUGGAUGUGCACUAGGUGUCAAUUAUACUAGGCACAAGGUUUCUUGACUCAAGGGAUGGCCCAAGCCAUGGAAAACUCAAGUUAUUGGUUCCCAAAGAUGAUUCAAGUCAAUCAUUGCCUCAAAGCAAUAGUUUUGAGUUCUUAUCCUAUUUGGGACCAAAUAUCAACAAGUCUUUAUUCUCACGUCUAAACAUUCUUCAUG